AGCAGCCGCGGUAAUUCCAGCUCCAAUAGCGUAUAUUAAAGUUGUUGCAGUUAAAAGCUCGUAGUUGAAUUUCGGGAUCAAUAUGUUGGUCGUGCCUCGGUACGUACUAGCAUAUUGGUUUCUCCUUUCUGAAGAACCAUGAUGUCAUUUAUUUGGUGUCGUGGGGAAUCAGGACUGUUACUUUGAAAAAUUAGAGUGUUUAAAGCAGGCUCACGCUUGAAUACAUUAGCAUGGAAUAAUGAAAUAGGACGUUUGAUUCUAUUUUGUUGGUUUCUAGGAUCGACGUAAUGAUUAAUAGGGAUAGUUGGGGGCAUUAGUAUUCAAUUGUCAGAGGUGAAAUUCUUGGAUUUAUUGAAGACUAACUACUGCGAAAGCAUUUGCCAAGGAUGUUUUCAUUAAUCAAGACGAAAGUUAGGGGAUCGAAGACGAUCAGAUACCGUCGUAGUCUUAACCAUAAACUAUGCCGACUAGGGAUCGGAUGAUGUUAAUUUUUAAUGUACUCAUUCC
Molecule: unclassified non-coding RNA, 507 nt
Filed under: uncultured Glomus
Lineage: Eukaryota; Fungi; Glomeromycota; Glomeromycetes; Glomerales; Glomeraceae
Description: SSU rRNA
Rfam family: Eukaryotic small subunit ribosomal RNA
Source: RNAcentral